This 254-nucleotide ribosomal RNA is filed under the name uncultured bacterium. RNAcentral's name for it is "partial 16S ribosomal RNA". It matches the Rfam family "Bacterial small subunit ribosomal RNA", at positions 524 to 776 of the family's 1533-position model. The record is from RNAcentral.
UACGAAGGGGGCUAGCGUUGUUCGGAUUUACUGGGCGUAAAGCGCACGUAGGCGGAUCGUUAAGUCGGUGGUGAAAUCCUGGAGCUCAACUCCAGAACUGCCUCCGAUACUGAGAGUCUCCGAGUCCGAGAGAGGUGAGUGGAACUGCGAGUGUAGAGGUGAAAUUCGUAGAUAUUCGCAAGAACACCAGUGGCGAAGGCGGCUCACUGGCCCGGUACUGACGCUGAGGUGCGAAAGCGUGGGGAGCAAACAGG